Molecule: unclassified non-coding RNA, 744 nt
Filed under: Hevea brasiliensis (rubber tree)
Lineage: Eukaryota; Viridiplantae; Streptophyta; Magnoliopsida; Malpighiales; Euphorbiaceae
Source: RNAcentral
AGAUGGUGGUGGGGCUCUCAUUAUUGAUUAUGGUCUAAAUGGAAUAGUCUCAGACAGUCUUCAGGCUAUCCGAAAGCAUGGCUUUGUUAAUAUACUGGAUAAUCCUGGAACUGCUGAUCUUAGUGCUUAUGUUGACUUUGCUGCAAUCAGACAUUCUGCAGAGGAAGCUUCAGAUGAUGUGGCUGUGCAUGGCCCAAUGACUCAGUCUCAGUUUCUUGGGUCACUUGGCAUAAAUUUCAGGGUUGAGGCAUUGAUGGAGAACUGCACAGAUGAACAAGCUGAUUCCUUAAGAACGGGUUAUUGGCGUUUGGUGGGUGAAGGCGAGGCCCCAUUCUGGGAGGGUCCGGAGGGGCAGGCACCUAUUGGGAUGGGGACCAGAUAUUUGGCAAUGACAAUUGUGAACAAGAAGCAAGGAUUACCUAUACCAUUUCAAUGAAACAUCUGCAUAUGGGCUUCCUGUUGUACUGGUAUUCCCUCAUGUUUGGGGGAUUGUGGAAUUGGCUUCAUAACUUUUUCAUCUGACAUGAAUGUGUGUAGCUGGAUGAAAGGCUAGGAAGAGACAGGAUGGUGAUACUGGUUUUGCCCCAGUCUUUUCCUUUUGUUCUGAAGGAGAGAAUAUCUAGUCUUCUCAUACGUCUUCGUUUCUUCAGUUUCUCGUGUCUCAACUGUGGUGCAACAAGAGAAUGUAGAUCCUACAUCAAGUUGUUAAGCUAUAUUGUUCCUGAAAAAUCAGCGGAAGCUAAA